AGUGAACGCUGACGGUAGGCCUAACACAUGCAAGUCGAACGGCAGCACAGGAGAGCUUGCUCUCUGGGUGGCGAGUGGCGGACGGGUGAGGAAUACAUCGGAAUCUACUCUGUCGUGAGGGAUAAUGUAGGGAAACUUACGCUAAUACCGCAUACGACCUACGGGUGAAAGCAGCGGACCUUCGGGCCUUGCGCGAUUGAAUGAGCGGAUGUCGGAUUAGCUAGUUGGCGGGGUAAAGGCCCACCAAGGCGACGAUCCGUAGCUGGUCUGAGAGGAUGAUCAGCCACACUGGAACUGAGACACGGACCAGACUCCUACGGGAGGCAGCAGUGGGGAAUAUUGGACAAUGGGCGCAAGCCUGAUCCAGCCAUACCGCGUGGGUGAAGAAGGCCUUCGGGUUGUAAAGCCCUUUUGUUGGGAAAGAAAUCCAGCUGGCUAAUACCCGGUUGGGAUGACGGUACCCAAGAAUAAGCACCGGCUAACCUCGUGCCAGCAGCCGCCGCGG
RNAcentral lists this ribosomal RNA (505 nucleotides) under uncultured bacterium. Its description in RNAcentral is "partial 16S ribosomal RNA". It matches the Rfam family "Bacterial small subunit ribosomal RNA", at positions 29 to 523 of the family's 1533-position model. The record is from RNAcentral.